Molecule: ribosomal RNA, 948 nt
Filed under: Triticum aestivum (bread wheat)
Lineage: Eukaryota; Viridiplantae; Streptophyta; Magnoliopsida; Poales; Poaceae
Description: partial small subunit ribosomal RNA
Source: RNAcentral
AUGAUGUCUCAUGCUGAGCAUUUUACUGCCGUUAUGCUGCCGGAAUUGCCUAGGAGUUCGAGUGAUACUAACUCCUUGUCCUACAUUCUACAGUCCAUAGUUGAUGCUGAUUCCGUCCUUGGUUCGUUUCUCAGGAUGUCAUCAGCUAAGCGAAGUUCCGUCGCUCGUAGCCAGAACCAUGGAGAUGGUAGGGAUGAGGAUCCUCCCGACCAGUCUUCGUUGACAGAGCUCAUGCUAGAGAUGGAGAGGAACAAGCGUGAGUCUAAUCGUUUGUUGGCACGUAUCGAGGAGAACACCGCACAUCAGUUCAAGGGGUCUGCUACCAUUCAUGAUUUCAUUCGCUUGCACCCACCUACUUUUCAUCAUUCCAUCGAGCCACUCGAUGCAGAUGACUGGCUCCGUAGCAUCACCCAUAAGCUGCGUUCCGCGAACGUAGCUGAAGAUGACAAGGUCACUUAUGCCACAUAUCACCUAGAAGGUCCUGCUAGUCUUUGGUGGCAGAACUAUGAGGCUAUGCUUCCAGUUGGCCAGAUUCCUACCUGGAAGGAUUUCACUGAGGCUUUUCGCGAGCAUCACAUUCCCCAGGCCCUCAUUGAUCGCAAGAGAGAAGAGUUCUGUAGUUUCACCCAGAGUAAGAUGGCUGUUGAUGCUUAUAGCAGAGAAUUCGAGAACCUUGCCCGCUAUGCCACAGAAGAAGUGUCCACGGACGCCAAGAAGCAAGCUAGGUUCCGGAAGGGUCUCAACCCCAAGUUGCGUCGUGAUCUCCACCUGCAUCAUUGUGAUACAUUCCAAGCCCUUGUGAACAAGGCCAUCAAUGCAGAGACAGCUCAACUCACUUACGAGGAGUCUCGUAAGCACACCCGUGAUUUGGGAUCUUCCUCCGGUUCUAGUUCCCAGAAGCGCCGGAUUUGGGUUCCAAACUCCGCUCUUCCUUCCGGAUAUGCACCG